Small nucleolar RNA from Gossypium raimondii (Peruvian cotton), 107 nucleotides. It matches the Rfam family "Plant small nucleolar RNA R71". Rfam says of the family: R71 is a member of the C/D box family of snoRNAs containing the C (UGAUGA) and D (CUGA) box motifs. Multiple nearly identical copies of this snoRNA have been identified in Arabidopsis, and it is thought to function as a 2'-O-ribose methylation guide for 18S ribosomal RNA. Lineage: Eukaryota; Viridiplantae; Streptophyta; Magnoliopsida; Malvales; Malvaceae. The record is from Rfam.
AAUCCAUGAAUUGGACAUUUUCGAGGUAAUUCUUUAAAUCGUUCUCAAGCUUCAUAUAGCAUUUCAUCCUCCAAUUGCUGAAAAAAAGUGAUGUCAUUUCUAAGCUU